UGGGAUUAGAUACCCCACUAUGCCCAGCCCUAAACUUAGAUAGCAAAAUACCACCUAUCCGCCAGAGAACUACAAGCAAAAUACUUAAAACUCAAAGGACUUGGCGGCAUUCCAUAUCAACCUAGAGGAGCCCGUCCAAUAAUCGAUAAUACGCGCUCAACCCAACCAUUUUUGGCCACUCCAGCCUAUAUACCGCCGUCGUCAGCUAACCUUAUGAAAGAAAAGAAGUAAGCACAAUAGCCCUCGCUAAAACGUCAGGUCAAGGUGUAGCUAAUAAAAUGGAUGUGAUAGGCUACAUUUUCUAUUAUAGAAAAUAACGGAAAAUACAAUGAAACCUUGUAAUAGAAGGUGAAUUUAGAAGUAAAUUAAGAAAGUAUCCUUAUUUUAACCUCGCUCUGGAAUGCGCACA
Molecule: ribosomal RNA, 409 nt
Filed under: Cordylus machadoi
Lineage: Eukaryota; Metazoa; Chordata; Lepidosauria; Squamata; Cordylidae
Description: partial 12S ribosomal RNA
Rfam family: Bacterial small subunit ribosomal RNA
Source: RNAcentral